This 420-nucleotide unclassified non-coding RNA is filed under the name Zea mays. RNAcentral describes it as "misc RNA Zm00001eb195750". Lineage: Eukaryota; Viridiplantae; Streptophyta; Magnoliopsida; Poales; Poaceae. The record is from RNAcentral.
GCAUGUUGUCGUCCUCUUGCCCAUGGCAGCGCUACUGUUGGAGGUGGACAAUCGAGCUCCCGGGCAUGGCGUGGGAGCGGCCGCAAGGUCCGGUCGGCACUCGGCACACGCACACAGAACAGAAGCAAGUUAAAGCUCGGCGGCCGUCAGCCAGCAUGCAGUACACGGCCAAGACAGGUCCACUUUAAGCCAGAUCCAACUCCAAUCUCUAGCAAGGCAGCAACAGAAGAGAUAUGGUUGCAGAGAUAUGGUGCUUUGUAUUUGUUGGCAGCUUCUUCAAUUACUAUUGUAAUGUCCAUGAACUGAAUGAUGCAGCAGCCUGAAUAGCUCUGGAGUCUGGAUGCUAUUGGUUCUAAAUGAUAGCUUGAGCUGAAUAAUCUGAUAGCAUGAAUAGUUGUGGCAAGUAGUGCUUGACUGAAU